Molecule: unclassified non-coding RNA, 342 nt
Filed under: soil metagenome
Description: partial contains 5.8S ribosomal RNA, internal transcribed spacer 2, and large subunit ribosomal RNA
Rfam family: 5.8S ribosomal RNA (bases 1-120)
Source: RNAcentral
GAUGAAGAACGUAGUGAAAUGCGAUAAGUAGUGUGAAUUGCAGAAUUCAGUGAAUCAUCGAAUCUUUGAACGCACAUUGCGGCCAUAGGUAUUCCUUUGGCCAUGCCUGUUCGAGCGUCAUUUACACCCUCAAGCCUAGCUUGGUGUUGGGCGCCUGUCCCGCCGUUUUCGCGCGCGGACUCGCCUCAAAGUCAUUGGCGGCGGUCGUGCCGGCCCCCUCGCGCAGCACAUUUGCGCUUCUCGGAGGCCCGGCGGAUCCGCGCUCCAGCAAGACCUUUCACGACUUGACCUCGGAUCAGGUAGGGAUACCCGCUGAACUUAAGCAUAUCAAUAAGCGGAGGA